This 253-nucleotide ribosomal RNA is filed under the name uncultured bacterium. Its description in RNAcentral is "partial 16S ribosomal RNA". It matches the Rfam family "Bacterial small subunit ribosomal RNA", at positions 524 to 776 of the family's 1533-position model. The record is from RNAcentral.
UACAGAGGUCUCAAGCGUUGUUCGGAUUCAUUGGGCGUAAAGGGUGCGUAGGCGGCGCGGUAAGUCGGGUGUGAAAUCUUGGAGCUUAACUCCGAAACUGCAUUCGAUACUGCCGUGCUUGAGGACUGGAGAGGAGACUGGAAUUUACGGUGUAGCGGUGAAAUGCGUAGAUAUCGUAAGGAAGACCAGUGGCGAAGGCGGGUCUCUGGACAGUUCCUGAUGCUGAGGCACGAAGGCCAGGGGAGCAAACGGG